UAAAUGAACUUAAAUUCAACUUAAAAUAUUUUUUUAACAAACAAAGUAAAAAAUAAUAUUCUAAAGUUAAUUAAUAGAGGUUCAGCUCUAUUAAUAAAGGAUACAACCUAAAACAAUGAAUAAUGAUUAUAUUAACAAAAGAAAUUAAUAAUGUAGGCCUAAAAGCAGCAAUCAAAAUAAAAGCGUUAAAGCUUAAUUUAAUAAAUCUUAUUAUAACAAUAAAAUAUCUUAAUUCAUUAAAACUAUUAAGUCAAUCUAUUUAAAUAGAUGUGAUUAUACUAGAAUGAGUAAUAAGAAUUUAUUCUCUAAGUACAAGUGUAAAUCAGAACGAAUAUCUCACUGAUAAUUAACAAACCUUUUGAAGGAAAAAUAGUAUUCUACAAGAAAAAUCUAUUUAAUUUAUCGUUAACCCAACACAGGAGUACAUUAGAAAGAUUAAAAAUAUAGGAAGGAACUCGGCAAACACGAACUUCGCCUGUUUACCAAAAACAUCGCCUCUUGCAAUUAAGGUAUAAGAGGUCCUGCCUGCCCAGUGACACUAAGUUUAACGGCCGCGGUAUUAUGACCGUGCAAAGGUAGCGUAAUCACUUGUCUUUUAAAUAAAGACCAGUAUGAAAGGCAAGACGAAAGUUCAACUGUCUCCCUAAAUUGAUCAAUGAAGUUAAUCUUUCCGUGCAGAAGCGGAAAUAUAAAUAUAAGACGAGAAGACCCUAUGGAGCUUUAAACAUAUAAUCAACUGUAAAACAUAAACCCGAAAGAUAAAAUAUUAAAUAUAACAGUAUGAUUAAAAUUUUAGGUUGGGGCGACCACGGAGAAAAACAAAACCUCCGAGAUGAAGAGAAUAUCUUAAUUUAAGAACUACAGUUCUAAAAAAUAAAAUAUUUAACAUAAUUGAUCCAAUAUAUUGAUCAACGAACCAAGUUACCCUAGGGAUAACAGCGCAAUCCUCUCCAAGAGUCCCUAUCGACGAGUGGGUUUACGACCUCGAUGUUGGAUCAGGACACCCCGAUGGUGCAGCCGCUAUUAAAGGUUCGUUUGUUCAACGAUUAAAGU
This 1053-nucleotide ribosomal RNA is filed under the name Hynobius kuishiensis (Iyoshima salamander). Its description in RNAcentral is "partial 16S rRNA". It matches the Rfam family "Bacterial large subunit ribosomal RNA", at positions 861 to 2594 of the family's 2925-position model. The record is from RNAcentral. Lineage: Eukaryota; Metazoa; Chordata; Amphibia; Caudata; Hynobiidae.